CUCUUAUUACGAGUGGUUGAGGGACUGGCCCUAUGACACCCGGCAACCUUUCAUUUCGAUGAAAAGGUGCUAAAUCCUGCAAGGAAUCUUUUUUCCUUGAAAAAUGAGAG
Molecule: non-coding RNA, 110 nt
Filed under: Brochothrix thermosphacta
Lineage: Bacteria; Bacillati; Bacillota; Bacilli; Caryophanales; Listeriaceae
Description: SAM-I sequence
Rfam family: SAM riboswitch aptamer (S box leader)
About the family: The SAM riboswitch is found upstream of a number of genes which code for proteins involved in methionine or cysteine biosynthesis in Gram-positive bacteria. The SAM riboswitch acts at the level of transcription termination control.
Source: Rfam by way of RNAcentral